GAGCUGGCUUUGGCCACUCAGGUACUAAAGGUGAAGCAAUACAGGGAAGAUUACCAUGGUCCCUCCACAAGGAUGGCAUGCAAAUUUAUAUUUUGCAUAGUCCC
Molecule: small nuclear RNA, 104 nt
Filed under: Carlito syrichta (Philippine tarsier)
Lineage: Eukaryota; Metazoa; Chordata; Mammalia; Primates; Tarsiidae
Source: RNAcentral